UUGAAAGAAAAAAAAUGGCACUAGGUGGGUAGUCUCGCUGCUGCCCAUGUUAUACAGGUUCAACUUGGGUAAAGCCUCGAAAUGGUUGUUUAAAGUUUAACUUGGAUUCUGCCAUCAGUGCUAAUAAACAGAACAUCGGUUUGGGUUCUUUGAUUCAUUGAGUCGAUGGAACAACUCUCGCUCAUAUACGCUUCAUGUUUUGCUACCACAAAAUUUAGUCUAAGAGCAAUACAACUCAACUCAUCAGAUACUCCAUGAUUCGG
Long non-coding RNA from Cannabis sativa, 263 nucleotides. RefSeq lists it as uncharacterized. NCBI's taxonomy places the organism in Eukaryota, Viridiplantae, Streptophyta, Magnoliopsida, Rosales, Cannabaceae. The record is from RefSeq and is a predicted model, not a curated record. The transcript has 2 exons.